AGUGAACGCUGGCGGUAGGCCUAACACAUGCAAGUCGAACGGCAGCACAGUAAGAGCUUGCUCUUACGGGUGGCGAGUGGCGGACGGGUGAGGAAUACCGGAAUCUACUUUUUCGUGGGGGAUAACGUAGGGAAACUUACGCUAAUACCGCAUACGACCUACGGGUGAAAGCAGGGGAUCUUCGGACCUUGCGCGAUUGAAUGAGCCGAUGUCGGAUUAGCUAGUUGGCGGGGUAAAGGCCCACCAAGGCGACGAUCCGUAGCUGGUCUGAGAGGAUGAUCAGCCACACUGGAACUGAGACACGGUCCAGACUCCUACGGGAGGCAGCAGUGGGGAAUAUUGGACAAUGGGCGCAAGCCUGAUCCAGCCAUACCGCGUGGGUGAAGAAGGCCUUCGGGUUGUAAAGCCCUUUUGUUGGGAAAGAAAAGCAGCAGGUUAAUACCCCGCUGUUCUGACGGUACCCAAAGAAUAAGCACCGGCUAACUUCGUG
This 490-nucleotide ribosomal RNA is filed under the name uncultured bacterium. RNAcentral's name for it is "partial 16S ribosomal RNA". It matches the Rfam family "Bacterial small subunit ribosomal RNA", at positions 29 to 507 of the family's 1533-position model. The record is from RNAcentral.